UGACCUUUUUUAGUUUUUUAUUAACUAAACUAAUAAGCACACAUAAGCACAGUACAUUACAGUUUAACAAUGUUUAAAUCGGAAAUCACCAGGUGAAACAAUACAUCGUUCUCCCUGCCAAUGGUUCUGUAAAAAGCAGAGGGAUGGGGCUGGAGAAAUGGAACCAUAGUUUAAACCAUGUUUCCAGGCUAUAGUCCAGUGGUUCUGUAAAAAGCAGAGGGAUGGGGCUGGAGAAAUGGAACCAUAGUUUAAACCAUGUUUCCAGGCUAUAGUCCAGUGGUUCUGUAAAAAGCAGAGGGAUGGGGCUGGAGAAAUGGAACCAUAUUUAAACCAUGUUUCCAGGCUAUAGUCCAGUGGUGUCAAUCUCAUUCCAUGGAGAGCCUAGUGUCUGCUGGUUUGAGGUUUUUCCUAGGCAACCAGGUGAGGGGAGUUCCUUACUAAUUAGUGACCUUAAUUCAUCAAUCAUUUGAGGAGCAAAAACCCGCAGACACUCGGCUCACCCGUGGAAUGAGUUUGACACAUGCUAGUGUAAGUUUACAUUUACUUUGUUUACAAACAUUGGAGUAGAUAAAAAUAUAUAUUUUGGGAUCUGAUGGGGUACGGCAGUUGAACUAUGUUCAUGAGGCAUUUAUAAAUUAUAUUCUUCAAGAAUCCAAAAGUGGAUGUAGCAACUGCAGAUUGGCCAUUUAAAGGGGUGCAUCGGACCUGGUCAUGUAACCGGGCAAAAGCAGUAAUAGACGAGCGCCCUUCUCAAAUCUGUGCCACAUGAUCACAUUGUCAACAAGGAAGAAACAAAAGUUUUUUUUUCAUAAAAUGUUCAAACUAUUUUUCCUUAGGAAGGCAGAUAAAGCACAUAUGCAAAACAAAUGGAAUCACUUUUCAACCAGUGCAAACUGCACCCACCCAAACGAACACCUUCAGUCUGUGAUAGAUUCCUCGUCAUCAAAGCUGUAGUGGAUGCUGUCAUAGAUGUCAUCUAGGUCCUCUUCCAGGAGGUCAUCUAUGAAGUUAUUUUCUAGGAGGGAGGUGUCUUGGCCCAUAGCUUGCUGUAUAUCAGUUUGACAGAGUCCUGGUGUCUUUCGAGGCUGCUGACUCUCCUCUGAAGCAUGGAGAAGAGACCUCUGCUCCCAGCUUCCGACUGAUUCAAUUGCCAGCCUAACAC
RNAcentral lists this long non-coding RNA (1162 nucleotides) under Salmo salar (Atlantic salmon). Its description in RNAcentral is "lncRNA (ENSSSAG00000111180.1)". The record is from RNAcentral. Lineage: Eukaryota; Metazoa; Chordata; Actinopteri; Salmoniformes; Salmonidae.